AACGCGAAGAACCUUACCCAGGCUUGACAUGCAGCAGACCGGUCCAGAGAUGGGCCUUUCCUUCGGGACUGCUGCACAGGUGCUGCAUGGCUGUCGUCAGCUCGUGCCGUGAGGUGUUGGGUUAAGUCCCGCAACGAGCGCAACCCUUAUCAUUAGUUGCCAACAUUUAGGUGGGAACUCUAAUGAGACUGCCCGGGUUAACCGGGAGGAAGGUGAGGAUGACGUCAAGUCCGCAUGGCCCUUAUGUCUGGGGCUACACACGUGCUACAAUGGUCGGUACAGAAGGCAGCGAAACCGUGAGGUGAAGCAAAUCCCGAAAGCCGGCCCCAGUUCAGAUUGUAGUCUGCAACUCGACUACAUGAAGAUGGAAUUGCUAGUAAUGGCGAGUCAGCAACAUCGCCGUGAAUACGUUCCCGGGCCUUGUACACACCGACUGUAC
RNAcentral lists this ribosomal RNA (439 nucleotides) under uncultured bacterium. Its description in RNAcentral is "bacterial SSU rRNA". It matches the Rfam family "Bacterial small subunit ribosomal RNA", at positions 958 to 1399 of the family's 1533-position model. The record is from RNAcentral.